UAAUCAAGUGUUUGCUUGGGACAUACAUAUUAGGUAUAGGUAUCUAUUAGACAGAUGUCCAAUUGGAGUGAGCUGUCAAAUAAAUACUAGAUAAGUUAGUCUAGAGUUGAGAGUAGAGCUCAGAGAUGGAGAUUUAAAUUUAUAUUUGGAAGUCAACAAUUGAGUUGAUAUUUGAGGGAAUGGGAUUAGAUGAAAUCACCUAAAUGGUUAGUAUAGACAAAGAAGAAAGACACAAAGAGUGAGCCUCACUGUAACUGAUUCGUAGCACUAAAGAUCCCAGAUUGUCAUCCCUUCUGCUAUACACAGUCUUUACCAUGUGUUUUGUAGGACCCUUCCAUCCUAUCUCUGGGCUUAGAGCUGCAACUUGCUUUGACAUAGCCAAGUGAUGCAAGCAGAGGGUCGUACAUUUCUGCUCAUGCUCCUUCUACUUUACCCUUACCAUGAGAAGAUAUGCCUGGGCUAGCCCCUCUGACCCUAGAAGGGCGAUGGUAGAUACAGGGUCAGCCACAGGUGCAUGAGUGAGCCCAGCUGAGUGCAGUCUUAGAGAUCAAUUAAACCCCACAGGAUGGGUUGUGGAUUGAAAGGCAAGGUGAGCCAAUAUUAUGCUUCCUACAACAAGCAAAUAAACACUAGAGAGACACUCUCCUUCACCUUGUCUGAGGCCAGCAAAAACGAUGCAAAACAACUUCAAAGCCACAUCACAAAAGAAUUCCAAGGGACCUCAUCUUUCUUAAAGCAAAGCAAAGUAUAGAGGUCCUCCCCCAAAAAGUUCACUCUGCAAAUCUUCAACACAGACUUUGUUUCUCUGGGAAGUCAAUGUAAGACAGCUGGCGUGAAGAGUUGUUUAAGGAAGAAAACCAUAAAACAAGAUGUUGGAGGUGGAGCACUGGAGAGAGAUAGAACACAUGCUGUAGCAGUGCAGUUGCUGGAAAAACAUGGAUGAGAAAACAGUGAAGGAGGACUCAUUGGUGAGCAAAAUGUCUCCAGAUUUUGAGAGAGUGAAGGGAGCAGUAAUUACAAGAACAAUGGAAUCUGAGGUCCUUUCUGAAGGUCAGUGAGAUUUAGGGUCAUUCAAAAAAGACAGCAAAGGUUGUGGAUGACCAUUUAGCAAUUGAAGGAGAGGCAUGGAAGUCAGAAGGCCUCCUUAGUGGUAUAUAAAGGUAUUCAUCUGAAACCGGAGUACAGCAAGGUGAGGAAAAAGCUUGGGAAUUAACUGUAACAGUGGCAGAGCUCCAAAGAAGGUUGAAUUCUCAGCCCUGGAAAGUCUGCUAACUAUGGUGGGGGAAGAGUGGGGUCUUGAAAAUUCACCCUUCUUUGAUAAUUGGCCCUGAGAAUUGUGAUUACAAUAUUUUAGUCAAUGCAAUCAUAAACCUUGAUUUUCAAGAUCUCCCCAAACCAUUUGUGUUUUAGAAGUCGCUCACUGGUUCAUAUUAAAGGUCAACUUUCCCUUCAAUCUACCUUGCUUGAGGCAGUUGCAGGGGACUCUGCUUUGCAAGAAAAUCAGUGCUUCCCAUCUCAGGAUCUACCUGCAUUCACCUCCCUCCUUGGUUACCAGACCAAUAAGUAGGGUUAAAGUACUGUAUAAUUCAGGUGAGAAAGUACUGGGAUUAUUAAGGGUAGAAAGGAACUUCAAAGGAGUUGUAGAACCUAAUCAACAUGUAUUAGCAGAAGCUGGGAGAGCACAUGGGCUGGAUCCUGAGGAUGCAAGAUUGAGGAAGCAUGGGCAGAAACAGUUAAACUGUAUAGCAUUGACUGGGUCACGUUGCUAGUCAGGGAGGAAACUGUUAGUGGAGCCCGGAAAAAAUGAGGAGGGUAUAAAAGGCAAUAUCAGCUCUUGAAAUCUGGUUGCAAAACAUUUGUCAAAGCUAUGGCCUAAGAUAAUCUAGAGCAUAGAAAAUGUACCUGAUCUAAAGUAAUGC
Non-coding RNA from Macaca mulatta (Rhesus monkey), 1919 nucleotides. NCBI's taxonomy places the organism in Eukaryota, Metazoa, Chordata, Mammalia, Primates, Cercopithecidae. The record is from RefSeq and is a predicted model, not a curated record.